This 542-nucleotide ribosomal RNA is filed under the name Rhodotorula mucilaginosa. RNAcentral describes it as "eukaryotic LSU rRNA". It matches the Rfam family "Eukaryotic large subunit ribosomal RNA", at positions 61 to 617 of the family's 3401-position model. Lineage: Eukaryota; Fungi; Basidiomycota; Microbotryomycetes; Sporidiobolales; Sporidiobolaceae. The record is from RNAcentral.
GAAACUAACAAGGAUUCCCCUAGUAGCGGCGAGCGAAGCGGGAAGAGCUCAAAUUUAUAAUCUGGCACCUUCGGUGUCCGAGUUGUAAUCUCUAGAAAUGUUUUCCGCGUUGGACCGCACACAAGUCUGUUGGAAUACAGCGGCAUAGUGGUGAGACCCCCGUAUAUGGUGCGGACGCCCAGCGCUUUGUGAUACAUUUUCGAAGAGUCGAGUUGUUUGGGAAUGCAGCUCAAAUUGGGUGGUAAAUUCCAUCUAAAGCUAAAUAUUGGCGAGAGACCGAUAGCGAACAAGUACCGUGAGGGAAAGAUGAAAAGCACUUUGGAAAGAGAGUUAACAGUACGUGAAAUUGUUGGAAGGGAAACGCUUGAAGUCAGACUUGCUUGCCGAGCAAUCGGUUUGCAGGCCAGCAUCAGUUUUCCGGGAUGGAUAAUGGUAGAGAGAAGGUAGCAGUUUCGGCUGUGUUAUAGCUCUCUGCUGGAUACAUCUUGGGGGACUGAGGAACGCAGUGUGCCUUUUGGCGGGGGUUUCGACCUCUUCACACU